CUGUAUGGUCAAGCGAGUAAGCGCAUACGGUGGAUGCCUUGGCAGUUGGAGGCGAUGAAGGACGUAGGAGCCUGCCGAUAAGCUUCGGGGAGGUGGCAAACACCCUUUGAUCCGAAGAUUUCCGAAUGGGGAAACCCACCCGUCAUAAGGCGGGUAUCAUGCACUGAAUACAUAGGUGUAUGAAGCGAACCCGGAGAACUGAAACAUCUAAGUACCCGGAGGAAAAGAAAUCAACCGAGAUUCCCUUAGUAGCGGCGAGCGAAAGGGGACUAGCCUGCAAGUAAUAGCAGAAGUGUUAGUGGAACAGUCUGGAAAGUCUGGCAAUAGAGGGUGAUAGCCCCGUACACGAAAACUCAUCUGUGGUACUAAGCUUGCGAAAAGUAGGUCGGGACACGUGUUAUCUUGACUGAACAUGGGGGGACCAUCCUCCAAGGCUAAAUACUACCAACUGACCGAUAGUGAACCGGUACCGUGAGGGAAAGGCGAAAAGAACCCCGGAGAGGGGAGUGAAAUAGAACCUGAAACCGUAUGCGUACAAGCAGUAGGAGCAGACUUGUUCUGUGACUGCGUACCUUUUGUAUAAUGGGUCAGCGACUUAUUUUCAGUGGCAAGGUUAACCGUUUAGGGGAGCCGUAGGGAAACCGAGUCUUAAUAGGGCGUCUUAGUCGCUGGGAAUAGACCCGAAACCGGGCGAUCUAUCCAUGGCCAGGUUGAAGGUUGAGUAACAUCAACUGGAGGACCGAACCCACUAAUGUUGAAAAAUUAGGGGAUGAGCUGUGGAUCGGAGUGAAAGGCUAAUCAAGCCCGGAGAUAGCUGGUUCUCCUCGAAAGCUAUUUAGGUAGCGCCUCAUGUCUCACCACUGGGGGUAGAGCACUGUUUCGGCUAGGGGGUCAUACCGACUUACCAACCCGAUGCAAACUCCGAAUACCAGUGAGUGCGAUCAUGGGAGACACACGGCGGGUGCUAACGUUCGUCGUGGAGAGGGAAACAACCCAGACCGCCAGCUAAGGUCCCAAAUAUCAGUUAAGUGGGAAACGAUGUGGGAAGGCUCAGACAGCUAGGAAGUUGGCUUAGAAGCAGCCAUCUUUUAAAGAAAGCGUAAUAGCUCACUAGUCGAGUCGGCCUGCGCGGAAGAUUUAACGGGGCUAAACUGAUAACCGAAGCUGCGGACGCAUACUUGUAUGCGUGGUAGAGGAGCGUUCUGUAAGCCGUUGAAGGUGCAUCGUAAGGUGUGCUGGAGGUAUCAGAAGUGCGAAUGCUGACGUGAGUAACGAUAAAGCGGGUGAAAAACCCGCUCGCCGGAAGAUCAAGGUUUCCUGUCCAACGCUAAUCGGGACAGGGUUAGUCGGUACCUAAGGCGAGGCCGAAAGGCGUAGUCGAUGGAAAACAGGUUAAUAUUCCUGUACCGCUAUAUACUGCGAUGAGGGGACGGAGAAGGCUAGAUGAUCAGGGCGAUGGUUGUCCCUGUAUAAGCUUGUAGGGAGAUCUCUUAGGUAAAUCCGGGAGAUCACUAUCCUGAGGAGUUAUGUCGAGCUCAAUUGCGAGCGAAGUCAUUAAUGCCAUGCUUCCAAGAAAAGCCUCUAAGCUUCAGGUAUGUAGCGACCGUACUCUAAACCGACACAGGUGAUCAGGUAGAGAAUACCAAGGCGCUUGAGAGAACUAUGGUGAAGGAACUAGGCAAAAUGGUGCCGUAACUUCGGGAGAAGGCACGCCGAUUUUGGUGAUAGGAUUUACUCCUUAAGCUGAGGUUGGCCGCAGAGACCAGGCCCCUGCGACUGUUUAUCUAAAACACAGCACUCUGCAAACUCGUAAGAGGAAGUAUAGGGUGUGACGCCUGCCCGGUGCCGGAAGGUUAAUUGAUGGGGUUAGCUUCGGCGAAGCUCUUGAUCGAAGCCCCGGCAAACGGCGGCCGUAACUAUAACGGUCGUAAGGUA
Molecule: ribosomal RNA, 1935 nt
Filed under: uncultured gamma proteobacterium MB11B11
Lineage: Bacteria; Pseudomonadati; Pseudomonadota; Gammaproteobacteria; Cellvibrionales; Porticoccaceae
Description: bacterial LSU rRNA
Rfam family: Bacterial large subunit ribosomal RNA
Source: RNAcentral